This 497-nucleotide ribosomal RNA is filed under the name uncultured bacterium. Its description in RNAcentral is "partial 16S ribosomal RNA". It matches the Rfam family "Bacterial small subunit ribosomal RNA", at positions 28 to 507 of the family's 1533-position model. The record is from RNAcentral.
GAUGAACGCUGGCGGCGUGCCUAAUACAUGCAAGUCGAGCGAACAGAUGAGGAGCUUGCUCCUCUGACGUUAGCGGCGGACGGGUGAGUAACACGUGGAUAACCUACCUAUAAGACUGGGAUAACUUCGGGAAACCGGAGCUAAUACCGGAUAAUAUAUUGAACCGCAUGGUUCAAUAGUGAAAGACGGUUUUGCUGUCACUUAUAGAUGGAUCCGCGCCGCAUUAGCUAGUUGGUAAGGUAACGGCUUACCAAGGCAACGAUGCGUAGCCGACCUGAGAGGGUGAUAGGCCACACGGGAACUGAGACACGGUCCAGACUCCUACGGGAAGCAGCAGUAGGGAAUCUUACGCAAUGGGCGAAAGCCUGACGGAGCAACGCCGCGUGAGUGAUGAAGGUCUUCGGAUCGUAAAACUCUGUUAUUAGGGAAGAACAAAUGUGUAAGUAACUAUGCACGUCUUGACGGUACCUAAUCAGAAAGCCACGGCUAACUACGUG